GACGAACGCUGGCGGCGUGCCUAAUACAUGCAAGUAGAACGCACAGUUUAUACCGUAGCUUGCUACACCAUAGACUGUGAGUUGCGAACGGGUGAGUAACGCGUAGGUAACCUGCCUGGUAGCGGGGGAUAACUAUUGGAAACGAUAGCUAAUACCGCAUAAUAUUAAUUAUUGCAUGAUAAUUAAUUGAAAGGUGCAAUUGCACCACUACCAGAUGGACCUGCGUUGUAUUAGCUAGUAGGUGAGGUAACGGCUCACCUAGGCGACGAUACAUAGCCGACCUGAGAGGGUGAUCGGCCACACUGGGACUGAGACACGGCCCAGACUCCUACGGGAGGCAGCAGUAGGGAAUCUUCGGCAAUGAACGAAAGUCUGACCGAGCAACGCCGCGUGAGUGAAGAAGGUUUUCGGAUCGUAAAGCUCUGUUGCAAGAGAAGAACGGGUGUGAGAGUGGAAAGUUCACACUGUGACGGUAUCUUACCAGAAAGGGACGGCUAACUACGUG
This 505-nucleotide ribosomal RNA is filed under the name uncultured bacterium. RNAcentral describes it as "partial 16S ribosomal RNA". It matches the Rfam family "Bacterial small subunit ribosomal RNA", at positions 28 to 507 of the family's 1533-position model. The record is from RNAcentral.